CUGCCAGUUAGACAGAAGUCAACAUUCCUCAGGAAACUGUGAAGCUGGGCUCUCCUCUACUGUUGGCAGAAGGGACAAAGGGCUAUCUGUGGUAGCCAUUAGCAUACCAGAGUGCCCCCAGAUCUCUCAGAAUCACAGGAACUACUUGGGAAUCCAGAGCCACGUGACUGACCUAGAGCUCCUGAUUGUCAGUGAGGACCUCACUGUAGGCUCUUUCUGCCCCUCACUGCUCUCCAAGCACAGAACAGAAUUCCAUGGAUAACAGGAAAAACCCAAGAGUUGGUGCUGUGUUCCCAACCCUAGUCCAGCACAAACCUACGAGCCAAGGCAGCCAGUAUUUGGCCAUUCGUCCAUCCAUCUGCAUAUCCCAGGGAUGCACGAACAGAGAACAGUUCAGCCUCUCGGCCGCCUUCAAUAGAGCAAUGAGAAAGAAGUUAUUUGGGGGAGACUGCUUUUCGUCAUCUGAUUCUAUAUUGACCUGAAUAAAUAAGCUUAAAUACUUCUGAAGUUCCUUCUUGAUCUGUAUAAAAGAUUCCUUGACCAAUUUAGUCCUGCUUGAAGAAAUAAAAAAGAUUAACCAUA
Mus caroli (Ryukyu mouse) is the source of this 582-nucleotide long non-coding RNA. RefSeq lists it as uncharacterized. Lineage: Eukaryota; Metazoa; Chordata; Mammalia; Rodentia; Muridae. The record is from RefSeq and is a predicted model, not a curated record.